RNAcentral lists this transfer RNA (77 nucleotides) under Rhodospirillaceae bacterium. Its description in RNAcentral is "tRNA-Asp". It matches the Rfam family "tRNA". From Rfam's summary of the family: Transfer RNA (tRNA) molecules are approximately 80 nucleotides in length. Their secondary structure includes four short double-helical elements and three loops (D, anti-codon, and T loops). The record is from RNAcentral. Lineage: Bacteria; Pseudomonadati; Pseudomonadota; Alphaproteobacteria; Rhodospirillales; Rhodospirillaceae. RNAcentral also lists the same sequence under 3 other names.
GGGGGCGUAGCUCAGCUGGUUAGAGCGCUGGCCUGUCACGCCAGAGGUCGCGGGUUCGAGUCCCGUCGCUCCCGCCA